RNAcentral lists this ribosomal RNA (495 nucleotides) under uncultured bacterium. RNAcentral describes it as "partial 16S ribosomal RNA". It matches the Rfam family "Bacterial small subunit ribosomal RNA", at positions 28 to 505 of the family's 1533-position model. The record is from RNAcentral.
GAUGAACGCUGGCGGCGUGCCUAAUACAUGCAAGUCGAGCGAACGGACGAGAAGCUUGCUUCUCUGAUGUUAGCGGCGGACGGGUGAGUAACACGUGGAUAACCUACCUAUAAGACUGGGAUAACUUCGGGAAACCGGAGCUAAUACCGGAUAAUAUUUUGAACCGCAUGGUUCAAAAGUGAAAGACGGUCUUGCUGUCACUUAUAGAUGGAUCCGCGCUGCAUUAGCUAGUUGGUAAGGUAACGGCUUACCAAGGCAACGAUGCAUAGCCGACCUGAGAGGGUGAUCGGCCACACUGGAACUGAGACACGGUCCAGACCCCUACGGGAGGCAGCAGUAGGGAAUCUUCCGCAAUGGGCGAAAGCCUGACGGGGCAACGCCGCGUGAGUGAUGAAGGUCUUCGGAUCGUAAAACUCUGUUAUUAGGGAAGAACAUAUGUGUAAGUAACUGUGCGCAUCUUGACGGUACCUAAUCAGAAAGCCACGGCUAACUACG